Equus caballus (horse) is the source of this 4893-nucleotide long non-coding RNA. The record is from Ensembl. NCBI's taxonomy places the organism in Eukaryota, Metazoa, Chordata, Mammalia, Perissodactyla, Equidae.
CAUGACCUGGUCCAAAUAUGAGGGCACCACUGGUUUUGCAAAUGAUUGAAGCAUUACUCAGAACCUGCGGGGGAUAAAUCAGAGGGCUGUCUGAGUUCUAAGAGCUUUACUCUCAGGAUGGCUUGGCUUCUCUUCAUUGCAAGCUAUUGAAGCUAUUCCGGAUAAGCCUUGGCAGUCAAAUCUGGAAAACCUCAGGAGCCAUUGAGAUGAUCUUUGCGGAGCUCCCACUGGUACAGCCAGGGCGAGGAUCCUGAUUUAGAAGUUUCUACUUUGGGUGAGGACACACCACCUUGGUCAAGAAUUCAGUGUGGCAAUAAAAUAGAAAUGAUUGAAGUUGUGGUAAACGUAAACAAGACGGAGCCAGCAGAUAAGCAGCGGCACCCCAACAGAAGUAAGGAGUGGAGUGACAUCUGGAGGAGACAGGAAGAAAGGAGUGUGAAAGAGUUGGGAGUUUGAAAAUACUGGAAGAUUAGCCCUGAGCUAACAUCUGCUGCCAAUCCUCCUCUUUUUGCUGGGGAAGACUGGCCCUGAGCUAACAUCCAUGCCCAUCUUUCUCUAUUUUAUGUGAGACGCCUGCCACAGCAUGGUUUGCCAAGUGGUGCACAAGUCUGCACCUGGGAUCCAAACCAGUGAACCCCAGACCGCUGAAGCAGAACGUGCGAAGUUAACUGCCGUGCCCCAAGGCUGGCCCCACAUUAAUACUUUUUAAAAGCAUCAUUUUAAUAACUACAUAAUAUGUUUUAAUGGACGUACCACAAUUUAUUUACUAUAGUACAUUUAAGGUAACACAGUUAAGAUAAAUAACACUAAUAAACAUCACCAUCCAUAUAUUUUUCCUACAUUUCUCAUAGUUUCCUUAAAAUAAAAUCCUAUAAAUUAUAUACUUUAUGUUCUUAUUGAAUUGUGCUUAAUUUUGUGAGUUGAUUUACAAUAUCUACCAACAUCAGAUUAUGUGAGAAUUCAGUGAGAUGAGGUAUGUUCCUAUUUUCCUGAGCUAAGUUGGAAUAAAAGUUGUGGUCAUACAAGCACUUGAAGAAUAUUAAAGAUCUUCUUGACCAUUUCUUCUCCACUAAAAAAAAGGGAGGAGGGAAGGAACAACUUUUGAUGUGGGAUCCUUCCCAGAUUUUAAAUUAUUGUUCCUUUCCUCUGGGUUCUCUAAAGUCUUGCCUUAAUGACCAGACUCUCUCUAAAAACAGGCUCUGAGACUCUGACCACAGAGGGAAGGUUCUCUUACAGUCUCUACACAGUUAAGGAAAAGGCAGAGACCAGGGAGCCCUGAUCCAGUGACUUGCAGAGAGAAAUUAACCUUCAGUUUUUUGGGGUUUUUUGAGGAAGAUUGGCUCUGAGCUAGCAUCUGUUGUCAAUCUUCCUCUUUUUUUCCCCGCUUCUCCCCAAAGCCUCAGUACAUGGUUGUAUAUUCCAGUUGUAGGUCCUUCUGGUUGUGCUACGUGGGACACUGCCUCAGCACGGCUUGAUGAGCAGUGCACAGGUCAGCGCCCAGGAUCUGAACUGGCGAACCCUGGGCCGCCAUAGUGGAUCAUGUGAACUUAACCACUCGGCCACAGGACUGGACCCAACCUUUACCUUUUCAAGUAGACCAAACUCCAACCUGUAUAUUCAGGACUGGAGCGAGAACCAGGAUGGAGAAAAAUUUUAAGGACUUUGUGUAAAGAAGGUCUUGCUUCCCUCCCGAGGCCAGCGAGAGAUGGUGAAGCAAGCAAGGAUGGAGCAACACCCCAAAGCUGUGACACGCAGGCCCCACCAGCGACUGGCCUUGGGCCCCUUCACCCCCGUCACUCCCUCCACCACCUCCCCAGGCUCUCCCAGCUCCCUGGGAUCCCAGGCUCUCCAUGCCCGGCCCAGUCUGCGACCAAUGCCUGGGCUAGGCCUGGCUGGUGUCUCCUUGCCCUCUAGGCCUUUGCCUCUUCCUCCAGGGAGUCCUCCCUAAUGCCCUUCCCAGACUGAGUCCGUCUGUGCUGCAUGUGUCAUGUCUGUGAAACGUAGAGGACAUAUGGCUCCUCCAGGAGGGGCACAGGAGUCUGGGAGGGAACCAGUGGGAGGCUGGCAAGAGGAAGCAAGGAGAAGCCAGCACAGAUGCCUGAGCAACUGACUGAAGCCUUGUCGUCUCUGACCUUGGAAGUCAGGCCCUCACUCGGUUACCUGAUCUCACGGCUCAAUUUGCAACCGGAAGCACAUCAUCGGCUCAAACGAACGUUGGUUGAAUGAAUGAACUGGAGGAAAAGAACCGGGGAGGCAGAGGGGGUCUGAAAACCUCGAGUCGGGUCUGCAUCCUGCUGUGUAAAAUGAGCUCACACGCGCACUGCAGGAGAUUCCAACAGCCUGGCCUGGGGUCUCCUCUUCCAUCAGGGCUCAGCUGAGCCACCGCCUGCCCCAGGAAGCCUUCUCUCAACCCCACAGUUCACUGGGGGUGGGGGCAGGGGCACCGUGCAUAAGCUCGUUGUUGGAGGGAGUAAUGGACCAAGUCCAGAAAGUUCCAUUGCAAGAUGAUGAGAGUCAGGGAGGCAGGGUGGCCUCAUGGGCUUUGCCAUUUUCUUUUUCUUACCUUGUUAAAUUAAAAGCAAUUUUCAAAAAAGUGAAAAGAAAACUCUCUCCCAAUAAAAGGAUCUUCCAGCUGGAGUUGGGAUCCUUCCUAGGAGAGUAUCAGUAUUUUCUCUGUUCUAGGGGGAGCGCUGGAAUAUAUCCUGGGGCAGACUCUCCUUUUGUUCCGGAGGACUGUGAGCUGGUUUGGUUUGAGGUCUAUAAGAUUCUUCAUUGUUGUGGGGAGAAGUCCCAAGGAAAGCCCCAAACCAAUGAAGUGAUCCUACUGCAGAUGUUUCAGAGGGAGGUGUUGAGGGCUUUUCUUAGCGCUGUACCUUGACGUGUCUUCUUGACAGGACUAAGCCUCUGCAGGAUCAGAGCCACCAUGGAGCAGCAUGGAGACUGGGCAGAGAAAUCAGCCAGCUCUGCUCACCGGUCCGUGAGGUGCUAGUCUUCCCAGAGAAAGGGCAGCUUUUUCUAAUUUUCACGAUGUGCCAUAGAGACUAGAGUUUCUGAGAGACAGUAUACAACCCCUGAGACCAUGCCAAGAAGGACCUAGGGAUCUGAUCUGAUCUCUACCAUUUACCAGAGGAAAGACUAUGAAGAGGAAGUAAACUGAGUUUGGUUUAGAAGCGCUGGCUCCUUGAUUUUGUUGCCCAGACGUGGUAUUAAGCCUGAAUAACCCAGCCUGCAGGAAAUGUGUUGUCAGCUGUUGAGAGUGUCUUGUCUGAGCAAUGGAGGAGGGAGAUGGAGUGGGCAGACGGUAUGCUACGUGGAGGGUGGGAGUGCUCCUAAGCCGAUGGGUGCUCCCACUGCGAAUCAGCCUGGGAUAGGAAAAGAAACAGGUCCAGGAAGGGGAGAGGGCUCUCUAGAGCCAGAGAAGUUGAGCCUGGAUUUCGGGUAGGAGGACAGCAGCAAAGAUCCUUGCAAGAUGGCAGCUGUCUGAGGAUCAAGGAGAAAGAAGACCAAUAGGGGAUGACCUAUAGGAGGGUGCGGAUUAGGCACCUAGGAAGAGUGAUAGCUGGAUAUUUUUUGACCACAUUACAGUCCAUUCAGCAAUCUCCAAGCCUUCAGUGAAGUUUAUUUAGCUUUGAAGAAAUAAAGAAGAUGCCUGGACCUGCGCAUUGGGCCACCGCAGCCUGGACAAGCCGUUACACAAGAGGGGAGUUGCGGUUUGGAGAAAAAUGACUGGCUAAAGGGACGAAUGCAGGGGAACCAUCUUCAUGGGACAGAUAAGCAUUCUUUGAGGACUAUCAGAAACACUUGGCGAGGGCAACCAGAAAACCAGGACUUCAUGCAGUUGUUCAAGUCAGGAGCUUGGAUGAAGUUAGUUGGUGUUAAAGGAAAGGUUGACUCUGGAAGGCUAGAGGUGGUGGGGACAUGUGAGAUCCCCAGGGGAGAACGAAUGGCUAGAAGGGAAGGGAAUGUGGCAUUGCUGACUCCAAAGUGCCACAACACAUUUUUCUUUUAGCUCUCAAAGUGAAAAGCUGACAGUUCCAUUCCUAUAAGGGGAAGGCAUUUUGCUAGAUGGAAUCUCAUUUUCAUUUCCUCUCUGUUGUCACUGAAACACUGAUUACUUAUAAACAUUUGUGCAAGAAGAAUUCAGAUUCAGAUUCUUUGUUUAAAAAUUACAUAAUUUUUAAAUUAAAUACGUUCUUCCAGUACUCAUUCAAAGACAGAAAAACAAAUCAGAUUUUAUGUUUUUGCCUCUGUCACUGGUUCGAUAUUAACUAGUUACCUGCCUGUUUUUCUGUCUCUCAGUCAUCUUAACUCAAAUGCCUGCAAAAAGCCAAUACUGCUUAGUGUUAAAAUAAAAUAAAAAUCCCACUUCGCAUAUUAUUUUAUUUUAUAUAAAAAUGCAUAUUACUUCCAGAUGGUCAAGUCUAACCCAACCAGAAAAAGGCUUAUUAAAAUAAUGCAUAAAAUCUGAGGAAAACAAAUAAGACUUAAAAGCAAAAAGAAUAGUUAUUAGAAUUACAGAUGCGUAAUUUCCCUGGAAUGCUAGUGAUCUGAAGUAAUCUAAGGAAAUGUUUACUUUGGUCUACUUGCAACUUAGUAUUACUCUAUGGUGAUUUGAAGUGUUGACACUAAACCAAUAAAAUAAACGUCUGUAAUGAAGUCAUAGAUGUAAAUUCCCACUGCAAUUGAACAAGAUGCAGAGAAUUCCACUCUAAAACACCACUGCCAAGCACUAUGGGGACCACUCAUUUCUAUUUGUUUUCAACAAACAAAAUUUAACAUAAAUUGUAGGUGUUAGCAAACUAAUAUUUUUUAAAAACUUGAAAAAAAUUUUUCAUUUUCUCCCAAAGCCCCGCAGUACAUAGUUGUGUAUUUUUCAUUAUGGGUACUUCUAGU